RNAcentral lists this ribosomal RNA (469 nucleotides) under Bacillus cereus. RNAcentral describes it as "bacterial SSU rRNA". It matches the Rfam family "Bacterial small subunit ribosomal RNA", at positions 70 to 522 of the family's 1533-position model. Lineage: Bacteria; Bacillati; Bacillota; Bacilli; Caryophanales; Bacillaceae. The record is from RNAcentral.
GAUUAAGAGCUUGCUCUUAUGAAGUUAGCGGCGGACGGGUGAGUAACACGUGGGUAACCUGCCCAUAAGACUGGGAUAACUCCGGGAAACCGGGGCUAAUACCGGAUAACAUUUUGAACCGCAUGGUUCGAAAUUGAAAGGCGGCUUCGGCUGUCACUUAUGGAUGGACCCGCGUCGCAUUAGCUAGUUGGUGAGGUAACGGCUCACCAAGGCAACGAUGCGUAGCCGACCUGAGAGGGUGAUCGGCCACACUGGGACUGAGACACGGCCCAGACUCCUACGGGAGGCAGCAGUAGGGAAUCUUCCGCAAUGGACGAAAGUCUGACGGAGCAACGCCGCGUGAGUGAUGAAGGCUUUCGGGUCGUAAAACUCUGUUGUUAGGGAAGAACAAGUGCUAGUUGAAUAAGCUGGCACCUUGACGGUACCUAACCAGAAAGCCACGGCUAACUACGUGCCAGCAGCCGCGGUC